AUCCAUCCCAGCUUCUGCUGAGCCUACCACAUCUCUGCCUGCUUCAAAGAUUUCCACACAUGCUGCAUGGACAGCCUCAGACAUCUUUAAGCUUACUGUUGAAGAGAUGCCAGACAUAUUCGCUGAUGAGCUGAACAGGGCCAUACCUGCUCCAGGCCAGAGACUUCAUCAGGCAACAGCACGCACAUGCUCAUCAUUCCACUGGCAAAUGGAAGCUCCAGGAUCUUCACUUUCUCAGAAGUCACCGUGGCCACUUUAAAUGAACCAACCUGGUACAUCAUCUGCACAGGUAACAAUUCAACCUUCCUCUAUGAAAGAAGUGAGAGCUGUAGGAAACUCAUGUGAUGAAGAGCCACUGGAAUGCAUUGUUCUUUUGGAGAAUCCUACUACUAACAAUGAUAAAAUUCAAACUAAAAUCCAGUUUCAAGAUUUCUGGCCAGUGCAUUUGUUUAACACUGUGGGAGUUGGAGGUGAUGGCAGCUUUAGAGAAAGCUUUUGCCUCUGAUCUAUGCAAGUUCCAAGGUAGACCAUGGCCAGAGCUGAAAUGAUGCUCAAGGGGGAGUAGAAGAUGUUCUCAUUGACAUGCUGGACUUUCAGCUCCCUGAAGACAUCAAAACAAAAUUCCGUGCUUGCUGCACCGAUGGAGCCCAUUG
Molecule: long non-coding RNA, 653 nt
Organism: Cygnus olor (mute swan)
Lineage: Eukaryota; Metazoa; Chordata; Aves; Anseriformes; Anatidae
Exons: 4
Source: RefSeq, a predicted model, not a curated record